Sinocyclocheilus grahami is the source of this 423-nucleotide long non-coding RNA. RefSeq lists it as uncharacterized. Lineage: Eukaryota; Metazoa; Chordata; Actinopteri; Cypriniformes; Cyprinidae. The transcript is spliced from 4 exons. The record is from RefSeq and is a predicted model, not a curated record.
UGGACCCUAGUGUAGACGGGAUCUCACGGAGGGACCUUCUCCACGGACUAUAUGAAGGGAGGGGAGGGGGAGGGGGAGGGGGCUGCUUACUUUACUCCCAGCUUGCAGAACACACAGAUCACUUCUAUGAUUGAUGAGGGAUAUGUGAGUGAAUUUGCCAAACACUGAACAAAGAAAUCUACUGCAUCCUCCGAGAGAAGAACUUUAAUGGCUUCCAGGUAGAGAGAAAGAGGCAGCAGUCAAGAUGAACUCGAUUCCUUCGAUGGAUAGGCACAUACAGCAGACCAAUGACAGGCUGCUGUGCAUCAAACAGCACUUACAGAAUCCGGCCAAUUUCCAGACAGCGGCCACAGAACUGCUGGACUGGUGCGGAGACCCACGAGCCUUCCAGCGGCCAUUCGAGCAAAGCCUUAUGGGAUGCUU